UGGUGGAGUGAUUUGUCUGGUUAAUUCCGAUAACGAACGAGACUCUAACCUGCUAAAUAGUCAGCUGGUAUCUUAUUGCCUGCCUGACUUCUUAGAGGGAUUGGCUACUUAUAGUAGCAAGAAAAUGAGCAAUAACA
This 137-nucleotide ribosomal RNA is filed under the name uncultured eukaryote. RNAcentral's name for it is "partial 18S ribosomal RNA". It matches the Rfam family "Eukaryotic small subunit ribosomal RNA", at positions 1299 to 1458 of the family's 1831-position model. The record is from RNAcentral.